GUAGGCUUAAAAAGCCCACCCCGUGUUUGAUGGACGCUCAAAUUAAAACGGUGGGUUUUAAACCCCUGUUUCACUCCCCAUUUGUAGCGUUUUAAUUACUCUACCCCCUCUCUUCCCUCACACUUUUUCAUUACUCACCUCUCUCUUUUCUCAUCUUCUCCUUUCUUUCGUCGUUCUUCUUUGGUUCGUUUGCAUGUCUAUUUUUUUUUUCUUUUUGUUUCUUUGUAUGUUUAUUCCUCUUAGAUUUCUUUGGUUUCUUCUCAGAUUUGGUAGAUAUGAACGCUUUUCUAGUAGAUCUAAAGAUAUUUCGGUAGAUCUAACCAUUUUCUUGGUAGAUCUAACUAUUUUUUUAGUAUACAUGAACGAUUUUAUAUAGAUCUAGUUUUUUUUGUUUAGAUUUGUGUGUUGUCCUCUUGAUUUCCUUAUGUCAUAUUCUUCCUUGCAUGUUUUAUUUUUUCGAUUACUAUUGGCUUUGUACUUCGUUUGAUUUCUGACUAUUCUGAUAUAGCUUACAUGUUUGUGACUACCUAGGAUUUACUCCUAUAAUUUGUUCUUCAGCUCUCACAAUUAGCUUCCACUUUUGUUUCCACGAACUCGAAUGGGUUAUAUUUUCUUUAUCCAUUUAUAUUGUAUUUAAUUCGUCUCUGUUCUUCCUUCCAUAUCUAUUCUAUUUCCUAUUCCAUACUUUUUUUAUCCAGAUUUUCUCUUGUCGCUUCAAUAUUAAAUCACGUGCCCUCCCCUUGCCCUUUUUCUUAUGCUUUUCCAUCGAAAUGGGAUGGCAAGUGGAUCCGUGGUAAGGGAUGCUAACCGUGUUAUUAGAGCUUGGUAGGGGUCAAUCUGCCCCAACAAAAGGUCUAUUUUCUUUUCUUUUCUUUUUUCUAAGGGUCAAUGAUGAUUUGUUCUAAAAACCAACAGUCUCAUAUUAGGGUAUGAUUUCUGUUUUAAUUCUAUUACCUUUCAUGAUUUCUGUUUUAAUUUUAUUGCCUUUUCAUUUUUAGAUUACAAAAAGGCAUACAUCUCUGGUUUUCCUUAUUUUUUGAAUGAUUUUUUUUUUAUUUCCUUUCAAUCUGUUUUUCCUUAUCUUUUGAGUAUAAAUUCUGCUUUAAUUUUAUUUCCUUUCAAUUUUUUUUCUAUUCUAACUCUGUUGAAGGAUUUUUUUUUUCUUCGUUCCAUUGAAUUUGUUUUCAGUAUUGAAAUAAUUUAAUUGUACAUUUAAAUUUGACUUCAAUUUUAGAAGUGUUGAAACUGUUUAUUUUCUUUGCUUGGAAUUGGAUUUGUUCCAAUGAAAUAACUUCUUGAAAUCAUGAGGCCUUCUCAUAUGUAUUAUUAUGUCCUUUCAUGUGUUAGAUAUUAUGUUGUAUUUAUGUCCAUUUCUAGCCCAACCACUAGUAUUGACCUGACCAUUACUUAAUUUAUUUAUUUCUGAGUUGACUGUUUUUAUUAUGGGUUUACCUGAAUUUAUUGAAGUUAGGUGCACUAACUGUACCUAACUUUCCUCACCAAUCAUAUUUAUUGUAUCCUCUACUUAUACCAAUCUCUCCCUGAGACUUCUCCACAGACUUCUUUGAUAAAGUAUGUUGAUACGUCCCUGAUCCUUCCUUUUUAUUUCAAUUUUCUUUUAAACCGAUAAACAUUCUCAUAUGUGUUGUCUGACGGUUGCAACUUGCAAUAUACUUUGUUUCCAUAUACUUUGUUUCCUUCUUCCACCUCUAAUUUCAACGUAUUCCGUUCAUAUAAGAUAUGCAUCCUCCUUUCUUUAUAAUCAAAGUAAGAUAUGUCACUAACAUUUUUAUGUUUUUGUUAGGCCUUGAACCGAUUAUUUUGUCCCCCUAGUUGUGGACCGACUCGACCUUCAUUCACUCUGAACAUAAACAAAGAGCCCAAACUAAUCGAACAUACCUUUCGUAACUAGUUUAAGGUUCGUGAGUUUUUACAUUCGGAAUGAUCUUUGUUAUUGUCUAUUCUUUGUUGUACUUGUUGGAGACUAUUUAGUUGUAAUGUAUUAUGGUUACUUAUUUUUAA
Molecule: non-coding RNA, 2022 nt
Organism: Benincasa hispida (wax gourd)
Lineage: Eukaryota; Viridiplantae; Streptophyta; Magnoliopsida; Cucurbitales; Cucurbitaceae
Source: RefSeq, a predicted model, not a curated record